This 651-nucleotide ribosomal RNA is filed under the name Onomastus nigrimaculatus. RNAcentral describes it as "eukaryotic LSU rRNA". The stretch from base 422 to 651 matches the Rfam family "Eukaryotic large subunit ribosomal RNA", at positions 665 to 863 of the family's 3401-position model. Lineage: Eukaryota; Metazoa; Arthropoda; Arachnida; Araneae; Salticidae. The record is from RNAcentral.
GGAAAUCANGGUAGGGCUUCCCGUGAACCGGGGCCGUCCGACAGCGCGCAUUCCGUCGUGCCCGACGCAUUUGUCUCUCGUCCUAAGGACGCUGCAGCCGGUCGGGCAGAGCAAGCGCGACGGCCUGAAGGGCGGGAAAUGGCAGGUGGCCGGUGGCGNGCCUCGUGCGCGUCGCCGGUUGUUAGCCGUCUCGUCAGUGGCUCGUCGCCCGACCGAGGUGUCACCAGGCCCGCAAGGGCCUACGCGUCUCCUCUCUAAAUAGAUGCGGGCCGUUCCGCGGCAGGCGUCGGCCGUUUUUCCNCCGCACUCCCCCGGAGUGGGCGGGCAAGCGGAAGGCGUCNUUCGCUGCGGAGGCCCCGUCGGAGAUCGGGGGCUGGCAGCGAGUAGGUCGGUCACCCACCCGACCCGUCUUGAAACACGGACCAAGGAGUCUAACAUGUGCGCGAGUCAAUGGGUCUUGAACAGGCCCAGGGGCGCAAUGAAAGNAAAGGUCGGCCUCGCNUCGACCGAGUUGGGAUCCCCUCCUUUGUAGGGGGGGCGCACCAACGACCCGUCCUAUCCGGUUCGCCGGUUGGGCGGAGUACGAGCGUACACGUUGGGACCCGAAAGAUGGUGAACUAUGCCCGGACAGGACGAGGCCAGAGUGAAACU